This is a non-coding RNA of Potamilus streckersoni, 69 nucleotides long. The record is from the annotation of a GenBank genome assembly. NCBI's taxonomy places the organism in Eukaryota, Metazoa, Mollusca, Bivalvia, Unionida, Unionidae.
GGUGGCCUAGUAGUUAGAGCGGCCGCCUCGGAUGCGGGAGGUCGUGGGUUCGAUCCACAAUGAGAGCCA